Molecule: ribosomal RNA, 500 nt
Filed under: uncultured bacterium
Lineage: Bacteria
Description: partial 16S ribosomal RNA
Rfam family: Bacterial small subunit ribosomal RNA
Source: RNAcentral
GAUAAACGCUGGCGGCGUGCCUAACACAUGCAAGUCGAACGAAGCUCUCUGAAUUGAGUUUUCGGACAAGAGGAAGAGAUGACUUAGUGGCGGACGGGUGAGUAAUGCGUGAGCAACCUGCCUUUCAGAGGGGGACAACAGUUGGAAACGACCGCUAAUACCGCAUAAUGUAUUUUGAUGGCAUCAUCGAAAUACCAAAGAUUAUAUCGCUGAAAGAUGGGCUCACGUCUGAUUAGCUAGUUGGUGAGGUAACGGCUCACCAAGGCCGCGAUCAGUAGCCGGACUGAGAGGUCGAACGGCCACAUGGGGACUGAGAUACGGCCCGGACUCCUACGGGAGGCAGCAGUGGGGAAUAUUGGGCAAUGGGCGCAAGCCUGACCCAGCAACGCCGCGUGAAGGAAGAAGGCUUUCGGGUUGUAAACUUCUUUUGGCAGGGACGAAACAAAUGACGGUACCUGCAGAAUAAGCACCGGCUAACUACGUGCCAGCCGCCGCUGUAA